Molecule: ribosomal RNA, 370 nt
Filed under: uncultured Erwinia sp.
Lineage: Bacteria; Pseudomonadati; Pseudomonadota; Gammaproteobacteria; Enterobacterales; Erwiniaceae
Description: bacterial SSU rRNA
Rfam family: Bacterial small subunit ribosomal RNA
Source: RNAcentral
CCUUACCUACUCUUGACAUCCAGAGAACUUAGCAGAGAUGCUUUGGUGCCUUCGGGAACUCUGAGACAGGUGCUGCAUGGCUGUCGUCAGCUCGUGUUGUGAAAUGUUGGGUUAAGUCCCGCAACGAGCGCAACCCUUAUCCUUUGUUGCCAGCGGUUNGGCCGGGAACUCAAAGGAGACUGCCAGUGAUAAACUGGAGGAAGGUGGGGAUGACGUCAAGUCAUCAUGGCCCUUACGAGUAGGGCUACACACGUGCUACAAUGGCGCAUACAAAGAGAAGCGACCUCGCGAGAGCAAGCGGACCUCAUAAAGUGCGUCGUAGUCCGGAUUGGAGUCUGCAACUCGACUCCAUGAAGUCGGAAUCGCUAGU